UACGUAGAGUGCAAGCGUUGUCCGGAUUAUUGGGCGUAAAGGGUACGGCAGGCGGAUAGUAAAGUCAAGCGUGAAAGGUGUCGGCUUAACCGACAGACUGCGUUUGAAGCUGAUUAUCUUGAGUGUAACAGAGGAGAGUGGAAUUCCUAGUGUAGUGGUGAAAUACGUAGAUAUUAGGAAGAACACCAGUGGCGAAGGCGACUCUCUGGGUUAACACUGACGCUGAGGUACGAAAGCUGGGGGAGGCAAACGGGGAGUUAGAUACCCGUGUAGU
RNAcentral lists this ribosomal RNA (274 nucleotides) under uncultured bacterium. Its description in RNAcentral is "partial 16S ribosomal RNA". It matches the Rfam family "Bacterial small subunit ribosomal RNA", at positions 524 to 794 of the family's 1533-position model. The record is from RNAcentral.